GUUCAACGCAAUGUUUCCGAGUUCUUAGCCCAUUUGGGACCCAAUUUCAACAAGUCUUUCUACGCACUUCUAAACAUUCUUCAUGCAUCUGUAGCACUUUUAAUCAAUAAAAUUGAUUGUAUUCUAACAUAUUCUAACCCCAAACAACAGUAGAUAAGUCAUUUAGUGGUUCAACUCAAUGUUUUCGAGUUCUUAGGCCAUUUGGGACCCAAUUUCAACAAGUUUUUCUACACACUUCCAAACACUCUUCAUGCAUCUCUAGCACUUGUAAUCAAUCAAAGUUAUUGAAUUCUAACAUAUUCUGACCCCAAAAAACACUAGAUAAGUCAUUUAGUGGUUCAACGCAAUAUUUCCGAUUUCUUAACCCAUUUGGGACCCAAUUUCAACAAGUCUUUCUACACACUUCUAAACACUCUUCAUGCAUCUCUAGCAUUUGUAAUCAAUCAUAUUCAUUGUAUUCUAACAUAUUCUAACCCCAAACAACACUAGAUAAGUCAUUUAGUUGUUCAACGCAAUGUUUCCGACUUCUUAGCCCAUUUAGGACCCAAUUUCAACAAGUCUUUCUCCAUACUUGAAAACACUAUUCAUGCCUCUCUAGCACUUGUAAUCAAUCAAGUGUAUUGUUUUCUACCAUAUUCUAACCCCAAAAAACAGUAGAUAAAUCAUU
RNAcentral lists this long non-coding RNA (667 nucleotides) under Capsella rubella. Its description in RNAcentral is "long non-coding RNA (CRUB_LNC000113)". Lineage: Eukaryota; Viridiplantae; Streptophyta; Magnoliopsida; Brassicales; Brassicaceae. The record is from RNAcentral.